AAACUAGUUUUGGAGAAACAAAGGGGAGGGUGACAAAUAAGAGCAAGCGGGCCGGGCUAGAGGUAUUGGAGGACUGUAAAAAAUCUCUUGUGGCUCAGAGUAAGACCUUUAACUCUCGCCAAGAAGUACGAUCAAAGAAAACAAUAUGCGGGGUUUGUUCUCAACAGUCUUGGUGCUUCUUGUGGCCUUGAUGAUAGUCACCACUGAAGCAGGCAAAAAUAAGAAAGAGAAGGGGAAAGGGGCCAAGGGUGGUGCCUCUGACUGUGCUGAAUGGCGCUAUGGUAGCUGUGUGCCUAACAGCGGAGACUGUGGAGUCGGUGUCAGAGAGGGUACCUGCAACGACCAGAUGAGGAAACUGAAAUGCAAAGUACCUUGCAACUGGAAGAAGGAG
Long non-coding RNA from Coregonus clupeaformis (lake whitefish), 391 nucleotides. RefSeq lists it as uncharacterized. The record is from RefSeq and is a predicted model, not a curated record. The transcript has 3 exons. NCBI's taxonomy places the organism in Eukaryota, Metazoa, Chordata, Actinopteri, Salmoniformes, Salmonidae.